CUGAAAUUUCAUCUAAAAUAAAUUACUUUGGCACUCAUCUGGCACGUUUUCUUUUUCUUUUAUUUAAUUUCUUAACGUAUUGGCUGAUCUGCCUUUUAGGACCACUAGUUUGGGCUCGGAUAGACAGGCAGCCUAGCUUCUCCAAGGGGAUUCCAAUCCCGGGUCCCUGGAAACCUUAUAUCUGAAAUUAAGACUGAAGGCCGGUCUAGUUUUGACACAAAACUUCCCAGGUAUAGGAACGCGGGGGAAGCGGGCAGCGGGACCGGCUUCAUUUCAGAGCUGACGUUUGCAAUCCCGAUGCACUAGCGAAGGCAGAGCUAAAAGCUCCGCGCUCUCCGGCUGAAUCCGCAUCCGCUCCGGGGACGCGAAACCGAAGAGGGAGGGAGCAUUCAAUGGCGACACCGAGCGCUGGGGAGCCGGCUCCUCGCGCGGAUCCUCGCUCCGGCUGCCUGGCCGCCGGCGUCCGGGUCCGGCUGCGGUGAGCGUGGAUGGCUCCCCUCGCUUCCUGGGCGGCGCAGGGAGCAACCGAUGCCUAAGGUGGGCACCUGCCCGGACGGAGAUCGGCCCCGCUGACGCACGUGGGAGGACCCGGCGAGGCCGGGGAGUGGAGGAAGACGUGGGCUCGGGAUUAGGACCUCGCCUUCCCUAACAAGAGUGACGGUGGAGCCAGGAUGUCCCAGGUUCGCAGGGACGGCAGUCACCCAACCCACAACCGGCCCCACCCUCCCGGGAGGGAGCGCUGGUCCCCUCCCCAAGUCCCAUCCCCACCCCCAGCUUCCCAGGGCUGAAACCCCGGGAACUGCCGCGCCAGGGAAGGGGCGGGACUGACUCGUGCGGUACCUGUCGGCGGGAUUUCCCGAACCCUGCCCCGGCCGCCUCGGGAGCGGUGUGGCGAGCCGGACUCCGAGCCGACCCAACCCCGGGGCAGCACCGGAGCGGACCGGGCAGCAGUGGGCGCUCGCGAUCCUCCUCGACCUGACACGCUAUCCCUGCGGGCCCGGCCUCCUCUGUCCCCUCCUCCCGCUCCCGCUCCUCCCCCUGCUCCUCCCCUCGGCGGCGGUGAUAACCUCGCCUCCCCGCCUGCAAAGUCCCCGGCGCGAGGGCAGCUGCGAACCGCCGUUACCGCCGGGUCUCCGCGGGCGCCUGCGCCCGUGUCUCGCCCGCUGGCCCGGGUCGUCCUGAAAAAGCUCGCUCCGCCGGCCGCCGGGGCUCCACGGCGCUGCCCAUGGCCAAGCCCGGGAGCCGACUUUGGGCGCCGGACCGGCUGGACUACCGCGACGCGGCUCAGAAGAGUCAGGAGGUUUGCUUCUGCCCGACGCGUCUCUCUAGGACCGACCCUGAGGGGCAGUAGGAGCGCAAAGCGCCGCGGAGCCUGGGUACCACUCUGGCUGGGAACUGGGGCGGGGAUAACAGCAGAAAGUCCGUCCUGA
Molecule: long non-coding RNA, 1430 nt
Filed under: Cervus hanglu yarkandensis (Yarkand deer)
Lineage: Eukaryota; Metazoa; Chordata; Mammalia; Artiodactyla; Cervidae
Description: lncRNA (ENSCHYG00000009050.1)
Source: RNAcentral